This 714-nucleotide ribosomal RNA is filed under the name uncultured bacterium. RNAcentral describes it as "bacterial SSU rRNA". It matches the Rfam family "Bacterial small subunit ribosomal RNA", at positions 8 to 722 of the family's 1533-position model. The record is from RNAcentral.
AGAGUUUGAUCAUGGCUCAGGAUGAACGCUGGCGGCGUGCCUAACACAUGCAAGUCGAACGUGAAAGUUGAAAUGAGUACUUCGGUAUGAGUUUUGACUGGAAAGUGGCGAACGGGUGAGUAACGCGUAGGUUACCUGCCCCAAAGUGGGGGAUAACCACUGGAAACGGUGGCUAAUACCGCAUAGUUCUGCUUUUACAGGAGUAAAGGCAGGUAAAGCUCUGGCGCUUUGGGAGGGGCCUGCGUCCGAUUAGCUAGUUGGUGGGGUAAAGGCCUACCAAGGCUAUGAUCGGUAGCUGGUCUGAGAGGAUGAUCAGUCACAUGGGAACUGAGACACGGUCCCAACUCCUACGGGGGGCAGCAGUGAGGAAUAUUGCACAAUGGGGGAAACCCUGAUGCAGCAACGCCGCGUGGAGGAUGAAGGUUCUAGGAUUGUAAACUCCUUUUCUGAGGGAAGAGCAAGGACGGUACCUCAGGAAUAAGUCACGGCUAACUACGUGCCAGCAGCCGCGGUAACACGUAGGUGGCAAGCGUUAUCCGGAUUUAUUGGGCGUAAAGCGCACGCAGGCGGUUGAUUAAGUUUGGCGUGAAAUCUCUCGGCUCAACCGGGAGGGGUCGUUGAAAACUGAUCAGCUUGAGGCAAUGAGAGGGAUGCAGAAUUCCUGGUGUAGUGGUGGAAUGCGUAGAUAUCAGGAGGAAUACCAGUGGCGAAAGC